AUAUAAUAUAUAUUUACAAAAAUAUACGAGAGAAAAAGGGUCUUUCCUAAAAUAUCUCGCUUAUUUCGUACGAUAGAAAAAAAAUGUCAAA
RNAcentral lists this long non-coding RNA (91 nucleotides) under Polistes fuscatus (common paper wasp). RNAcentral describes it as "uncharacterized LOC122521097". The record is from RNAcentral. Lineage: Eukaryota; Metazoa; Arthropoda; Insecta; Hymenoptera; Vespidae.